GCUAUUCAUGCAAGGGUUUGGGUACAUGUGCUGAUCCAACAAAGUACAUAUUCUGGGAUGCAGUUCAUCCUACAGAGAAGAUGUAUGAAAUUCUUGCCGGUGAGGCUAUCAAAUCUAUUGCUUAUUAUAUUUCCACCAAGGGUUAAGGUUAAUGUGUGCCUUUUCUUGCUAUGAAUGCUUUAGAAUGUUGAUUAGUAGAAGAGAUGUUGUUUUAUUACGUUUGA
This 224-nucleotide unclassified non-coding RNA is filed under the name Hevea brasiliensis (rubber tree). Lineage: Eukaryota; Viridiplantae; Streptophyta; Magnoliopsida; Malpighiales; Euphorbiaceae. The record is from RNAcentral.